Molecule: transfer RNA, 61 nt
Filed under: Sephisa princeps
Lineage: Eukaryota; Metazoa; Arthropoda; Insecta; Lepidoptera; Nymphalidae
Description: tRNA-Ser
Source: RNAcentral
GAAAUAUAUAUAAUUAAGCUGCUAACUUAAUUUAUAGUGACUUAUUUUCAUUAAUAUUUCU